This 395-nucleotide ribosomal RNA is filed under the name uncultured bacterium. RNAcentral describes it as "bacterial SSU rRNA". It matches the Rfam family "Bacterial small subunit ribosomal RNA", at positions 505 to 898 of the family's 1533-position model. The record is from RNAcentral.
GUGCCAGCCGCCGCGGUAAUACAGAGGGUGCAAGCGUUAAUCGGAAUUACUGGGCGUAAAGGGCGCGUAGGUGGAAUAAUAAGUUGGAUGUGAAAUCCCCGGGCUUAACCUGGGAACGCCAUCCAAAACUGUUGAUCUAGAGUAUAGUAGAGGGAAGUGGAAUUUCCGGUGUAGCGGUGAAAUGCGUAGAUAUCGGAAGGAACACCAGUGGCGAAGGCGGCUUCCUGGACUAAUACUGACACUGAGGCGCGAGAGCGUGGGGAGCAAACAGGAUUAGAUACCCUGGUAGUCCACGCUGUAAACGAUGAGAACUAGCCGUUGGGUCCUUAAAACGACUUAGUGGCGCAGCAAACGCGAUAAGUUCUCCGCCUGGGGAGUACGGCCGCAAGGCUAAA